AUCACUGGGCUUAAAGAGUUCGUAGGCGGCUUGGUCAGUCAGAUGUGAAAUCCCACAGCCCAACUGUGGAACUGCGUUUGAUACUGCCAAGCUUGAGGGAGUUAGAGGAAAGCGGAACUGAUGGUGGAGCGGUGAAAUGCGUUGAUAUCAUCAGGAACACCGGUGGCGAAAGCGGCUUUCUGGAGCUCUUCUGACGCUGAGGAACGAAAGCUAGGGGAGCGAACGGGAUUAGAUACCCCGGUAGUCCCAGCUGUAAACGAUGAGCACUAGGUCGAGGGAACCUUCACAUUCUCUCGGCCGGAGCGAAAGUGUUAAGUGCUCCGCCUGGGGAGUAUGGUCGCAAGGCUGAAACUUAAAGGAAUUGACGGGGGCUCACACAAGCGGUGGAGGAUGUGGCUUAAUUCGAGGCUACGCGAAGAACCUUAUCCUGGUCUUGACAUGCUUAGGAAUAUCUGUGAAAGCAGAUAGUGCCUUCGGGAGCCUUUGCACAGGUGCUGCAUGGCUGUCGUCAGCUCGUGUCGUGAGAUGUCGGGUUAAGUCCCUUAACGAGCGAAACCCUUGUGUCUAGUUGCCAGCGAGUAAUGUCGGGGACUCUAGACAGACUGCCGGUGUUAAACCGGAGGAAGGUGGGGAUGACGUCAAGUCCUCAUGGCCUUUAUGAUCAGGGCUGCACACGUCCUACAAUCCAACGUACAAAGGGAAGCGAAACCGCGAGGUCAAGCAAAUCCCAGAAGGCGUUGGUCAGUUCGGA
RNAcentral lists this ribosomal RNA (751 nucleotides) under uncultured Planctomycetota bacterium. RNAcentral's name for it is "bacterial SSU rRNA". It matches the Rfam family "Bacterial small subunit ribosomal RNA", at positions 550 to 1297 of the family's 1533-position model. The record is from RNAcentral. Lineage: Bacteria; Pseudomonadati; Planctomycetota.